Aethalodelphis obliquidens (Pacific white-sided dolphin) is the source of this 487-nucleotide long non-coding RNA. RefSeq lists it as uncharacterized. The transcript has 4 exons. The record is from RefSeq and is a predicted model, not a curated record. Lineage: Eukaryota; Metazoa; Chordata; Mammalia; Artiodactyla; Delphinidae.
CCUCUUGACAAGGACGUUCAUGAAACGGAAAAAGCGCCUCUUGUAGUCUUCUGGGUUCCUGCACACGUAGAACUGGUGGAUGGAAUCCUCCAGCAGCCGGAUGAAGCACAGGAAUGUAAGCAGUUGAGUUAGUGUGAGAUGAAUGAAGCCCCGAAGUCACCAAAGUCAAGCUCCUCUUGACUCUGCUGAUCCAAGGGAAGUCCACGUGAGGACAUAGCAAGAAGGCAGCUGUCUGCAAGCCAGGAAGAGAGCUCCCACCAGUAAUCCAAUUGACUGGAGCCUUGAUCGUGGACUUCUAACCUCCAAAACUGACGCUGUAUUCAAGGAGUUCUUGACUCAGCACGGAGGUCACCACCCAAGUGGAAGGAGGGUGACUUGGUCAAGUCACUUCAGAAGAGCAAGACAACACCUACUCAAGGAGCAACAGGACGGCAGGGCUUGGGGGGAUCUGGGGGGAGAAAGGAAGAGAAUAAAACAACUUACUUUU